CCUACGGGAGGCAGCAGUGGGGAAUUUUGGACAAUGGGCGCAAGCCUGAUCCAGCAAUGCCGCGUGAGUGAAGAAGGCCUUCGGGUUGUAAAGCUCUUUUGUCAGGGAAGAAACGGGUCUUUCUAAUACAGAGAUCUAAUGACGGUACCUGAAGAAUAAGCACCGGCUAACUACGUGCCAGCAGCCGCGGUAAUACGUAGGGUGCAAGCGUUAAUCGGAAUUACUGGGCGUAAAGCGUGCGCAGGCGGUUUUGUAAGUCUGUCGUGAAAUCCCCGGGCUCAACCUGGGAAUGGCGAUGGAGACUGCAAGGCUAGAAUCUGGCAGAGGGGGGUAGAAUUCCACGUGUAGCAGUGAAAUGCGUAGAUAUGUGGAGGAACACCGAUGGCGAAGGCAGCCCCCUGGGCUAAGAUUGACGCUCAUGCACGAAAGCGUGGGGAGCAAACAGGAUUAGAUACCCUGGUAGUCCACGCCCUAAACGAUGUCUACUAGUUGUCGGGUCUUAAUUGACUUGGUAACGCAGCUAACGCGUGAAGUAGACCGCCUGGGGAGUACGGUCGCAAGAUUAAAACUCAAAUGAAAUUGAGGCUGAGACGAGACGAGGACGACGACGAGGGAGGAG
RNAcentral lists this ribosomal RNA (619 nucleotides) under uncultured bacterium. Its description in RNAcentral is "bacterial SSU rRNA". It matches the Rfam family "Bacterial small subunit ribosomal RNA", at positions 338 to 953 of the family's 1533-position model. The record is from RNAcentral.